UAGCUAUUCCAGUUGACGCCAUUUUGAUCUUAAAAUAGUAACAACCGGAAGCACUGGGUAGCCAUUACUGCGUGCGAUUUGUGGAAGGAUAUUGGAUCCUAUAGUUAAAUCGUGAAGUUUACAAAUUACAGACAUAGCAGUGACACAGUGAGAAAUUUACAGAGUGACAAAGUGACUGAAAUUUCCAUAGAAGGUUGUGUACUGGGAUGAUAUAGAUUGGAAGAAUGACAGUGAGUUUCAGUUAACUGAGAGAGAUCAGAGCUGAAGAUUAUUUACUAUUUGAGAAAAAGACUAUAGAAGGUAUGAAGUAAGAGUUAUCUUUCAUUAUAAGACUUACUCCUUCAAUAAUGAGAUUGAGUUACUGCCCUUUGGA
Molecule: long non-coding RNA, 373 nt
Organism: Saccostrea cuccullata (small rock oyster)
Lineage: Eukaryota; Metazoa; Mollusca; Bivalvia; Ostreida; Ostreidae
Exons: 3
Source: RefSeq, a predicted model, not a curated record